This 295-nucleotide long non-coding RNA is filed under the name Capsicum annuum. RNAcentral's name for it is "long non-coding RNA (CANN_LNC007882)". The record is from RNAcentral. Lineage: Eukaryota; Viridiplantae; Streptophyta; Magnoliopsida; Solanales; Solanaceae.
CCCCCUCAUGUCAUAAAAUUUAAAGUUCAUUAAUCAAAGGGUGCAAGUAGACAUCUAUUUCGCUUUUUGGAUUAUGCGGGCCAGGAAUAACACAAUUCAGAAAUAUACAGGGAUUAAUCAUCAACAGUUCAGGAGAAAGAUUAUAAGGAGUGAUAAAUACAGGCCAACAUGAAUAUGGUGCACCACCAACUGAAAAAGAAGAGGACCCAUCCACGCAUAAUCCCAAUCGAAUGUUUUGUGGCUCAGCUGCAAAAUCUGGAUAAGUCACAUCAAAAUGCUUCCAAACCUCUCCCUC